CGAACGGCGCACGGGUUCGGCACGUGGCGAUGGCGAACGGUGAUAAUACAUCGGAACUGCCCUGUAUGGGGGAUAACUAUCAAAGUUAGCUAAUACCGCAUACGACCUGAGGGUGAAAGCGGGGGACCGCAAGGCCACGCGCUACAGGAGCGGCCGAUGUCUGAUUAUCUAUUGGUGGGGUAAAGGCCUCACCAAGGCGACGAUCAUAGCUGGUCUGAGAGGACGAUCAGCCACACUGGGACUGAGACACGGCCCAGACUCCUACGGAGGCAGCAUGGGGAAUUUUGGACAAUGGGGGCAACCCUGAUCCACAAUGCCGCGUGUGUGAAGAAAGCCUUCGGGUUGUAAAGCACUUUUGUCCGGAAAGAAAUGGCUCUGGUUAAUACCCGGGGUCGAUGACGGUACCGGAAGAAUAAACACCGGCUAACUACGUGCCAGCAGCCGCGGUAAUACGUAGGGUGCGAGCGUUAAUCGGAAUUACUGGGCGUAAAGCGUGCGCAGGCGGUUUUGUAAGACAGGCGUGAAAUCCCCGAGCUCAACUUGGGAAUGGCGCUUGUGACUGCCAAGGCUAGAGUAUGUCAGAGGGGGGUAGAAUUUCCACCGUGGUAGCCAGUGAAAUGCGUAGAGAUGGUGGAGGAAUACCGGAUGGCGAAAGGCAGCCCCCCUGGGGACGUCACUGACGCUCCAUGCACGAAAGCGUGGGGGAGCAAACAGGGAUUAGAUAACCUGGUAGUCCACGCCCUAAACGAUGUCAACUAGUUGUUGGGGAUUCAUUUCUUCAGUAACGUAGCUAACGCGUGAAGUUGACCGCCUGGGGAGUACGGUCGCAAGAUUAAAACUCAAAGGAAUUGACGGGGACCCGCACAAGCGGUGGAUGAUGUGGAUUAAUUCGAUGCAACGCGAAAAACCUUACCUACCCUUGACAUGCCACUAACGAAGCAGAGAUGCAUUAGGUGCCCGAAAGGGAAAGUGGACACAGGUGCUGCAUGGCUGUCGUCAGCUCGUGUCGUGAGAUGUUGGGUUAAGUCCCGCAACGAGCGCAACCCUUGUCUCUAGUUGCUACGAAAGGGCACUCUAGAGAGACUGCCGGUGACAAACCGGAGGAAGGUGGGGAUGACGUCAAGUCCUCAUGGCCCUUAUGGGUAGGGCUUCACACGUCAUACAAUGGUGCGUACAGAGGGUUGCCAACCCGCGAGGGGGAGCUAAUCCCAGAAAACGCAUCGUAGUCCGGAUCGUAGUCUGCAACUCGACUACGUGAAGCUGGAAUCGCUAGUAAUCGCGGAUCAGCAUGCCGCGGUGAAUACGUUCCCGGGUCUUGUACACACCGCCCGUCACACCAUGGGAGUGGGUUUUGCCAAAGUAGUUAGCCUAACCGCAGAGAGGGCGCAU
This 1389-nucleotide ribosomal RNA is filed under the name Ralstonia sp. TKB 3. RNAcentral describes it as "bacterial SSU rRNA". It matches the Rfam family "Bacterial small subunit ribosomal RNA". The record is from RNAcentral. Lineage: Bacteria; Pseudomonadati; Pseudomonadota; Betaproteobacteria; Burkholderiales; Burkholderiaceae.